AGAGUUUGAUCAUGGCUCAGAACGAACGCUGGCGGCGUGGAUAAGACAUGCAAGUCGAGCGCUGAUUACAGGGUAGCAAUAUUCUGUAGUCGGAGCGGCGCAAGGGUGCGUAACACGUGGGUAAUCUGCCAUGAAGUUUGGGAUAACUUGCUGAAAGGCGAGCUAAUACCGGAUGUGAAAAUUGGUUGGCAUCAAUUGAUUUUCAAAGCUGGGGACCGUAAGGCCUGGCGCUUCAUGAUGAGCCCGCGGCCUAUCAGCUAGUUGGUAAGGUAACGGCUUACCAAGGCUAAGACGGGUAGCUGGUCUGAGAGGACGACCAGCCACACUGGAACUGAGACACGGUCCAGACACCUACGGGUGGCAGCAGUCGAGAAUUUUUCACAAUGGGCGCAAGCCUGAUGGAGCGACGCCGCGUGGGGGAUGAAUGGCUUCGGCCCGUAAACCCCUGUCAUUUGCGAUCAACCCUCGUUAUUUAAAAGAUGACGAGCUGAUAGUAGCGAAAGAGGAAGGGACGGCUAACUCUGUGCCAGCAGCCGCGGUAAUACAGAGGUCCCAAGCGUUGUUCGGAUUCACUGGGCGUAAAGGGUGCGUAGGUGGCGGGGUAAGUCGGAUGUGAAAUCUCGGAGCUCAACUCCGAAACUGCAUUGGAAACUACCUUGCUUGAGGGUUGGAGGGGGGACUGGAAUACUUGGUGUAGCAGUGAAAUGCGUAGAUAUCAAGUGGAACACCAGUGGCGAAGGCGAGUCCCUGGACAACUCCUGACACUGAGGCACGAAAGCUAGGGGAGCAAACAGGAUUAGAUACCCUAGUAGUCC
Molecule: ribosomal RNA, 815 nt
Filed under: uncultured bacterium
Lineage: Bacteria
Description: bacterial SSU rRNA
Rfam family: Bacterial small subunit ribosomal RNA
Source: RNAcentral